Molecule: ribosomal RNA, 120 nt
Filed under: uncultured bacterium
Lineage: Bacteria
Description: partial 16S ribosomal RNA
Rfam family: Bacterial small subunit ribosomal RNA
Source: RNAcentral
AGUGAACGCUGGCGGCAGGCCUAACACAUGCAAGUCGAACGGCAGCACGAGAGAGCUUGCUCUCUUGGUGGCGAGUGGCGGACGGGUGAGGAAUACAUCGGAAUCUGCCCAGUCGUGGGG